AUUUUUCUUCCUUAUUUAAGAAAACCCCAGAUUUUCUGGGUGGCAGUGUGCUCAGUCCCAGGAGGUAAAUCAGAGGUAACUUCUUCCCCUCUGCCAAUUGUUGGGAGAGGGGUUAGGUAUAGGAGGCAGUUCUGGCCAAUGCCAUAUAAGGAGAAGCAAGAAGAGGAAAGUGACGGGGCUGGCCCGGUGGCGCAGCGGUUAAGUUCGCACGUUCCGCUUCUCGGCGGCCCGGAGUUCGCUGGUUCGGAUCCCAGGUGCGGACGUGGCGCUGCUUGGCAGCCAUGCUGUGGUAGGCGUCCCACGUAUAAACUAGAGGAAGAUGGGCACGGGUGUUAGCUCAGAGCCAGGCUUCCCCAGCAAAAAGAGGAGCACUGGCAGUAGUUAGCUGAGGGCUAAUCUUCCUCAAAAAAAAAAAAAAAAAAGAAGAAAGUCUUUUUUCUGCCAUCACCCUUUAUCCCCCUUCUAUUUGGAAUGUGGUUCCAUAAAACUUUGAUGAUUGAUACUUCAGCAGCCAUCCUGAGAGCAUCAGGGGAGAGCUCAUCACCUCACCGAGGACAUGCAGAACAGAAGCUGCAUGCUUUCCUCCUCACUUGACAAUGAAGGCAUUAUUCUCUUCUGCUUCACCCAGGAGUAGCUACCCUGGCCUGCUGAAGAUUGCAUGGCACUGGUCAGGACCAUGCCCUUGGACAAUACUGAGAAAUACACUGAGUCCCAGUAUGCUGCUAAGAAGAAACUGAGGAUGUCAUUCUUCCCUGAGCGAUGGUUAAAGGGGUUUAUUAGCAGCUUUGAUAGUUGCAAACAUGUUUUGAUCAAGUGCUGGUUUGGACUGUGUAUCAGUGGGAACUGUUUAAAUGUUCAAAUACAACAAAUUUAAUUGCUCACAUGAGUUUGCCUUUGAAAUAAGUAAAC
RNAcentral lists this long non-coding RNA (909 nucleotides) under Equus caballus (horse). RNAcentral describes it as "lncRNA (ENSECAG00000057231.1)". Lineage: Eukaryota; Metazoa; Chordata; Mammalia; Perissodactyla; Equidae. The record is from RNAcentral.